GAUAGGACUGUCUGGGGCGUAGCUCUUAGUAUGGACUCUCCCACUGGAACAAAAUGAAGGCUUCUUCAUUAAAGCUGGAAAAUUACUUUGGACUUGGAGCUACGUAUUGAAAACAGAUUUCUCCCCUUCACUUUGUAGAUCAGCCUUACCUGGGACAAAAAGACCUUUGCUUCUGCUUGGUUCUACUGAUCAGUUCUCACCCAACUUCUGGCACAGGAAGCAGGCUACAAAACCUGAGCGAUGUGUUGCUGUCUAACACCUGGAGAAAGAUCAAGACCCACUGGGACCCCAGUGGGAGAGCAGCAGCUGGUGCCACGUGUUGGCUUUUCCUUGGAUCUCAAACUGUUCCUGGCAAGCCUCUUUCCUCUUGGACAGCAAGUGUUUUGGUAAAACCAGUUUAUAGCAUGAAGGAGUGUCUGAGAUAAAUUUGUUACUGCGAGCAGCAUUCCCAGCACUGCUGCAAAUUUCCUCCCAAAACUCCUCAUGCUUACCUUUUCACAGCAACUUACUGUGAAUGAUCCUUAUAACAAGUAGUCAUCCUUCCUAUGAAAAGCUUUGCGGGCAUGAUACUAGCCAUAUUGUACUGGAAAAGCUGAGUAUUAGCUGGGAUCAAUGUGUUUUUCUACUGAGGCUGGCAAAACUAUUUGCUUUUUCCUUUCUUUGCAAGCUAUCUUCUUGAAUCUGAUGACUGCAGACCGGAGAAGUGGCUGAGACUUUUAAAAGGACUGGCAAGAGUUUAAAGGCCACCUUCAUUGAUGUGUGUGGGAGGCAGGAACUUCUUGCAUAACAUUUCACCGCAGUUUUUUCUCCCUCCCUCUGGAAGUGACCAUCUUGUAAUGUCAAUGUGUGCAUGCAGCAUGCAUGCAGAGGGGAGAAAACACCAUACGCAUGUAAAGUUAUCUCUUAGCCCUAUUUCACCCCCAUCCAUGCACUGACUAUUUCUCUUACCUGUUGUAUUUUUCUCUUCUCAGCUCCAAAUGGUGGGAGCGUUUACUCUGCAGCUGCUAGUACAGAUAAGAAGGAAGCACAUUUUCUUGAUCGGCAAGCCUCCAGCCAGACCCAGACUUCCAUGGGACAUGGAAAGAGCUUUAGCCUUCACAUGCUGGUCUGAAGCCCCUCUUGCAGCUCAUUGCAAGGCUGCUCUGAGCUACCAGAGUGUGGAAUUUUUUACAAUGAACAUAGUCUCAUGAGUGCCUCACCCCCAGAUGAUGUAGCCACGGCUGUGGGUGCUAGGAAUGUCUAUCUCUAUUAGAAUUAAGGCUACAGUGCAGGAACAAAGCAAGAGGCUGUUUCGUACCUGCGUGCCCUCAGUACACUGAUAUGUACUGGUAUCACGUAGAUGUUUGAUCUGCUGCUCAUAUUUUAAGGUGUGGCUUGGGCAGGUUCUACUUGACUGGGACACGAACAGGCUUACUGCUAAAUGUGCCCGUUGAGAUGUAGCUAUUAACCCAAGCUUUUGGGUAAGUUUCACAUUGUGGGGGUUUUUCAGGUACUUCUAGGAGUCUGAUAUAGAGAGAAGACAGAUCUUAGCAGGCUGUAAACGUAUAUACUUUAUUUUGAUAUUCUGUAUUUAUUUAGCCAUUUAGAUAUCCGUUAUCCAGCAUAAGCAAGAGAUCAAGGAAAUGCCCAGUGGCCUUUCAGCAAAGCAUCAUUCCAGAGUUCUUCUGAG
Molecule: long non-coding RNA, 1669 nt
Organism: Gallus gallus (chicken)
Lineage: Eukaryota; Metazoa; Chordata; Aves; Galliformes; Phasianidae
Source: Ensembl